CCCCUUUAUCAACUGAUUAAUAUAGUUUGUUUUAAUGUUUACUAUUGCAAUAUAGUUUGUUCUUAUGUUGUGAUGUUGCAUUUAGUUUGUUUUAAUGUUUACUAUUGCAAUAUAGUUUGUUCUUUUGUUGUGUUGUUGCAAUAUAGUUUGUUCUUAUGAUGUGGUGUUGCAAUAUAGUUUUUUCUUAUGUUGUGUUGUUGCAUCCCUGUCCCAGUCUUAAAAUGUGUUGAAAUCAAUGCCCCUGAAUCAGAUAUCUUUCUUGUUUAUUAUGUGUCAAGUCUUGAGGUUUUAUUAUGUAUGUUGGUAAUGAGAAUCAUUGCAUUUGUGGAAAGUUUUGCACAAUUUUUUAUAAAGAAGAAUUGAAUGAUAUAUAGUGUUUGUUCCUAGGGAUAAAACCGGUCUGCAAUUUU
This 410-nucleotide long non-coding RNA is filed under the name Mytilus galloprovincialis (Mediterranean mussel). The record is from RNAcentral. Lineage: Eukaryota; Metazoa; Mollusca; Bivalvia; Mytilida; Mytilidae.